CCUACGGGAGGCAGCAGUGAGGAAUAUUGGUCAAUGGACGCAAGUCUGAACCAGCCAUGCCGCGUGCAGGAAGACGGCUCUAUGAGUUGUAAACUGCUUUUGUACGAGAGUAAACUCAAGUACGCAUAUCGGUCUGUAAGUAUCGUACGAAUAAGGAUCGGCUAACUCCGUGCCAGCAGCCGCGGUAAUACGGAGGAUUCAAGCGUUAUCCGGAUUUAUUGGGUUUAAAGGGUGCGUAGGCGGUCGUAUAAGUUAGCGGUGAAAUCCCGAGGCUCAACUUCGGAAUUGCCUCUGAUACUGUUCGGCUAGAGAGUAGUUGCGGCAGGCUGAAUGUAUGGGGUAGCGGUGAAAUGCAUAGAGAUCAUACAGAACCCCGAUUGCGAAGGCAGCCUACCAAGCCAUUUCUGACGUUGAGGCACGAAAGCGUGGGGAGCAAACAGGAUUAGAUACCCGAGUAGUC
This 460-nucleotide ribosomal RNA is filed under the name uncultured bacterium. RNAcentral describes it as "partial 16S ribosomal RNA". It matches the Rfam family "Bacterial small subunit ribosomal RNA", at positions 338 to 795 of the family's 1533-position model. The record is from RNAcentral.